This 24-nucleotide non-coding RNA is filed under the name Arabidopsis thaliana (thale cress). The record is from RNAcentral. Lineage: Eukaryota; Viridiplantae; Streptophyta; Magnoliopsida; Brassicales; Brassicaceae.
GCUCAUAUUAAUGAACAAAAACCA